UGGGGAAUUUUCCGCAAUGGGCGAAAGCCUGACGGAGCAAGACCGCGUGAGGGAGGAAGGCUCUUGGGUUGUAAACCUCUUUUCUCAGGGAAGAAGCACUGACGGUACCUGAGGAAUCAGCAUCGGCUAACUCCGUGCCAGCAGCCGCGGUAAUACGGAGGAUGCAAGCGUUAUCCGGAAUCAUUGGGCGUAAAGCGUCCGCAGGUGGCUGUUCAAGUCUGCCGUCAAAUCUCAGGGCUUAACCCUGAACAGGCGGUGGAAACUGAAAAGCUAGAGUGCGGUAGGGGUAGAGGGAAUUCCCGGUGUAGCGGUGAAAUGCGUAGAGAUCGGGAAGAACACCAGUGGCGAAAGCGCUCUGCUGGACCUGCACUGACACUGAGGGACGAAAGCUAGGGGAGCGAAUGGGAUUAGAUACCCCAGUAGUCCUAGCCGUAAACGAUGGAGACUAGGUGUGGCUCGUAUCGACCCGAGCCGUGCCGUAGCUAACGCGUUAAGUCU
This 498-nucleotide ribosomal RNA is filed under the name uncultured cyanobacterium. RNAcentral describes it as "bacterial SSU rRNA". It matches the Rfam family "Bacterial small subunit ribosomal RNA", at positions 355 to 867 of the family's 1533-position model. Lineage: Bacteria; Bacillati; Cyanobacteriota. The record is from RNAcentral.